Molecule: RNA transcript, 828 nt
Organism: Drosophila ananassae
Lineage: Eukaryota; Metazoa; Arthropoda; Insecta; Diptera; Drosophilidae
Exons: 3
Source: RefSeq, a predicted model, not a curated record
AGUCAAGGCUAGUAGAUAAGUAUAAGAUAAACCACCUCCAUCCCACUGUUGGCCAGAAAUGCCUCACAUAUUUUCAUGGCAUUUGAAUAACUGUGGGCCAAAAGCAGUUCAACCCCAUACCCGGGCCGGUAAAUGAGUAAAAAAUUGAAGAAAAGACAAAAACUGGAAAAAAAAACUGAGACAAUUAAGCUUAAGGAGCAUUUCAUUUCAUUCGAUUUCGAUGCGAAGAAAGUUCCAGCAUUUAGCCGCCAAAGAGAAACCUGGGCCCAGAGCCCAGGGCUGAUCUACAACCGAUGGAUGGGAUGGGUUGGAAUGGGGUUUGGGAGUUUGAGGAUGCUGCCAGUGCCCACACGUGAGACUAGACUUGUGACUUGUUGCUGCCGUUGUAGGCUGGCUGGCAGUUGGUUUUUGGCUUCAACCCGUUGGAUCCCGGCUCCUACAGCUCCCAUAGCUGCUGCCUGAUGAUCUAAUUUGGCAACAAUUGUCGUGGUCGUCGAUCGCUGAUGCCGAUGAUCGCGAAUCGAGCUGGAGCUAGUCCCCCUCCCCCCAUACCCAAGAGGUAGAAACACCACACAUGUGUGAGCUUUUGGAGGAGACCCGAAGCUCGGAGCAGAGGCCCUCCGCCUGGCGAUCGAUUGAUCUCGAUAAUGAGUUUCGUUUCGUUUCGUUUGGCUUCAGAGGACGCACCCAUAAUUUCGUAUGCUCUGUCACACGAAAGUUACCUUUAUGAUUUCCCCAUACAGCCCCAUCCCCAUCCCAUCCCAGGCUUUUCCGCUUGGCUGGAUGCAUCGAUCACACUAGGUGAUCUCUCUCUCUCUCUCCGCCAGA